RNAcentral lists this microRNA (22 nucleotides) under Ovis aries (sheep). RNAcentral's name for it is "microRNA miR-10b". Lineage: Eukaryota; Metazoa; Chordata; Mammalia; Artiodactyla; Bovidae. The record is from RNAcentral.
ACCCUGUAGAACCGAAUUUGGG